CGUCGGCGUAAGCGGUUCGUGCGACCUACUCGGAUUUUAUUUCACAAUUUUUGACUUCCUGGCAGAGUUUCCUUGAGAUACGGAAUAUUGAGAUUAUUUUGGGAGAGUACCUAGCGGGAGACGAGGAUGUUGCGAAUAAGACAAGACCUGCUCAUACCUUCCCCCCCGCUGACACCCGGCGAUGAAGCCUCGAUGCCGCUGCUCACCGACCUCCUGGCCCGCAAUGCCCAGGACUUGAACGCACCGCCGGGCUUCGUGCUCUGCAUUCCGUGCUACUUGUGCAAGCAGCCCUUUAACGACAUAGAGAGCUUCAAGGCCCACCUCACCCAGCAUGCGGCGGAGAUCCACGCGUGGAAUACGGGGAGUGUCCAAAAAACGCAGCCUUACAUGCCACCUUACGAGUCAGUCCCGCGGAACCCACACCCGUAUCACUUGCCAGUUGCCUUUCCACCAACUCCCUCACCACCAAUGGGCCCGAUGACCUUGCCUCCCUGUGCGAUGCCGUCUCAGCAGGAACAGAUGCAACACCCGAUGCCGGUACUUACCCAGGUCCCCCUUCGAGCCAUGGACAUGAUGGUUGAGAGAGUAGCUCCAACCAUUCCACACCAUCACCACCUCCAUCCCUGCCCUCCGCCGUGGCUGCGGCAACCACUCCCCAAUCAGCCCUAUUUCCCUCCAGUGCCACCUCCAAUGGAGUACACGAUUCCAACGCCCAUGCACGCAGAGCCAAGUCAUUCACCAGAGCACCCGCCAAUCCUGACACCCCAAGCUGUUGAGCUUCAGGAAGAGGAGAUUUCCGUCGAUGUGGAAGCGCUGUCGGAUGCUGUGGAGAAACCCAAGCCCCCAGUCGUCCAAAUACUAAAGGACCUACUGAAGAAGAGCUCUGAUCAACCGGCAGCUCCCGAUCCUGGCGCCACAAAGCAACAGUUCGGGUGCGAGCUGUGCGGGAAGAAACUGAGCUCCCGCCAGGCUCUGAAGUACCAUUCGAGAGUGUUCCACCAGAUAGAGGACCUGCCCUCGGACCGGAUUGGCAGGAACGUGCAGAAGCUGUACAAAUGCACCGUCUGCAAGCGGCGCUACAAGCGGCAGUCCUUCCUCAAGCUGCACCUGAAGUACAGCCACGGGAUCAUCACCCCGCCCAAAGAGGCUGCGGAGCCGGAAAGUUCCACAGUGGAUUGUGAAGCACCACCCGCCGCGGAAAAGAGCGCCUCGCCCCCAGCCCACGAGCCUGGCCGCAAGGAGAUCUGGAGCACCAGACUGUACAACGCGGUGGCGGCGGCACAGUACCAGCCUGCCAGCGAGCCGGCGGCAAAGUACUUGAGUGCGCCACGUCAGCACCCAGCCAGAACCGAUUCCGGAGAUACUUCUGCGACGCAGCCGAAGCGAAUCUACCCGAUGCGAUCGCCGUUUUUCAAUCCCGAUCUCUGGCUAGAUCUUUAGCUGUGCUCUUAGAGGAGGAGCGGGAGUCCCAAGUACGCUCUAGAAGACUAUUCAAUAUUCCGACGGAAAAUCACUGGGUUGUGAAAUUCAAUACUCUUCCAAGACUGAAGAACGAGAAGGCCAUAAAAAUGUGGAGGAAUUACUUGAGACCAUUUUUACGGACUCAGCAGUUUGGAUUUCGUGUGAAAUAAGAACCAUAAGCGGAACAUUUCUGGAUACAAACAAAUUUUAACAAACUUAAGUGCUAAAGUGCUGGGGUGGGAUUGAAAACCCCGAUUUUGGAAAACGAAAAAUAAACGGAAAAUAAACGGCUGUUUUUUCAGCAAUCAUA
This 1771-nucleotide unclassified non-coding RNA is filed under the name Drosophila ananassae. RNAcentral's name for it is "GF11296". Lineage: Eukaryota; Metazoa; Arthropoda; Insecta; Diptera; Drosophilidae. The record is from RNAcentral.